UACGAAGGGUCCUAGCGUUGUUCGGAAUCACUGGGCGUAAAGCGCAUGUAGGUGGUUUGGUAAGUCAGGUGUGAAAGCCUCGGGCUCAACCCGAGAAGUGCAUUGAUACUGCUGAACUUGAGUGAUGUGAGAGGGUAGUAGAAUUCCUGGUGUAGUGGUGAAAUACGUAGAUAUCAGGAGGAAUACCGGUGGCGAAGGCGGCUACCUGGCACAAUACUGACACUGAGAUGCGAAGCGUGGGGAUCAAACAGG
This 252-nucleotide ribosomal RNA is filed under the name uncultured bacterium. Its description in RNAcentral is "partial 16S ribosomal RNA". It matches the Rfam family "Bacterial small subunit ribosomal RNA", at positions 524 to 776 of the family's 1533-position model. The record is from RNAcentral.